CGUUGUGUUUAAGGACAACACCUGACUCAUCUCUUCAGGUUGCCCUUUGUCAUUGAGACCUUCACAGAAGUUUGCUUUUUAACAUGAUAAUCUCAGAAGAUCAUCUUUUGGGCAGAAAUUGUGAAGUUGCUGUGAGGAAAGGACUGCAGAGAGGGAAUGGUUGUCUCCGGGUGGAAGUAAUGUAACAAUCUGACUGCUGAUUUGCCCUAGCCCGGUCUCCCUGUCCUGGCCAACAGACAUCCUGAUGGAACACUGAAGACAAGAUUUCUCUCCUGGAAUUGAAUUACCAUCCAAGGGCCCAGAUGUCAAGGUGUUAGUGCCCCCCACACAGUGCUUGCUUUGCACUCCUCAUCCCCUUCCUCCUUCUUGUGAAUUAGAGAGCCUGGCUACAGGCUCUUGCUUUAAACUUUCCCAUCCUAAAAAGACCAGGCUCCUAUCUCUUCCACUGGGUCUGAUUCUCUUCAGGGACCCUCUACAUGCUCCCUGUUUCUGAUGAUGGGCAUAAACUCCCUUCAGAGCCUCUACUAUACUGUUGGCUCUC
This is a long non-coding RNA of Meriones unguiculatus (Mongolian gerbil), 541 nucleotides long. RefSeq lists it as uncharacterized. The record is from RefSeq and is a predicted model, not a curated record. NCBI's taxonomy places the organism in Eukaryota, Metazoa, Chordata, Mammalia, Rodentia, Muridae. The transcript is spliced from 2 exons.